UGGAUUGCCACUACAUACUGCUAGACAUCACUGAUGGAUUGUAGGACCAACGAAAAUUAUUUUGAUGGUUAAUAAUUUUUGAUUGAUGAGUUAAAAUUAUUUCAAUCCAUUGAAAGGAGUUUCAAUGAUAUUUUGAUGGAGAUCAAAAUAUUUCUUACUACCAGAGAGAAUAGAACCUAUAGGGUCACACAUAAAAGAGAUCC
This 203-nucleotide long non-coding RNA is filed under the name Elaeis guineensis (African oil palm). RNAcentral describes it as "long non-coding RNA (EGUI_LNC065884)". The record is from RNAcentral. Lineage: Eukaryota; Viridiplantae; Streptophyta; Magnoliopsida; Arecales; Arecaceae.